UAGGGAAUCUUCCGCAAUGGGCGAAAGCCUGACGGAGCAACGCCGCGUGAGUGAUGAAGGUCUUCGGAUCGUAAAACUCUGUUAUUAGGGAAGAACAAAUGUGUAAGUAACUAUGCACGUCUUGACGGUACCUAAUCAGAAAGCCACGGCUAACUACGUGCCAGCAGCCGCGGUAAUACGUAGGUGGCAAGCGUUAUCCGGAAUUAUUGGGCGUAAAGCGCGCGUAGGCGGUUUUUUAAGUCUGAUGUGAAAGCCCACGGCUCAACCGUGGAGGGUCAUUGGAAACUGGAAAACUUGAGUGCAGAAGAGGAAAGUGGAAUUCCAUGUGUAGCGGUGAAAUGCGCAGAGAUAUGGAGGAAAACCAGUGGCGAAGGCGACUUUCUGGUCUGUAACUGACGCUGAUGUGCGAAAGCGUGGGGAUCAAACAGG
This 429-nucleotide ribosomal RNA is filed under the name Actinomycetes bacterium. Its description in RNAcentral is "Actinobacteria bacterium partial 16S ribosomal RNA". It matches the Rfam family "Bacterial small subunit ribosomal RNA", at positions 355 to 776 of the family's 1533-position model. The record is from RNAcentral. Lineage: Bacteria; Bacillati; Actinomycetota; Actinomycetes.